Molecule: ribosomal RNA, 127 nt
Filed under: Heterosigma akashiwo
Lineage: Eukaryota; Raphidophyceae; Chattonellales; Chattonellaceae
Description: partial small subunit ribosomal RNA
Rfam family: Eukaryotic small subunit ribosomal RNA
Source: RNAcentral
GCUACUACCGAUUGAAUGAUUCGGUGAAAAUCUCGGACUUUGGCAUGGAACUUUAUUGUGACUUGCCGAGGGAAGUUAUUUAAACCUCAUCAUUUAGGGGAAGGUGAAGUCGUAACAAGGUUUCCGU